Molecule: ribosomal RNA, 422 nt
Filed under: uncultured bacterium
Lineage: Bacteria
Description: partial 16S ribosomal RNA
Rfam family: Bacterial small subunit ribosomal RNA
Source: RNAcentral
AAUCUUCCGCAAUGGGCGCAAGCCUGACGGAGCAAUGCCGCGUGAGUGACGAAGGCCUUCGGGUUGUAAAACUCUGUCCUUAGGGAAGAACGGUCUAUAUGUGAAUAAUGUAUAGCAAUGACGGUACCUAAGGAGGAAGCACCGGCUAACUACGUGCCAGCAGCCGCGGUAAUACGUAGGGUGCAAGCGUUAAUCGGAAUUACUGGGCGUAAAGCGUGCGCAGGCGGUUCGGCAAGAAGGAUGUGAAAUCCCAGGGCUUAACCUUGGAACUGCAUUCUUAACUGCCGGGCUAGAGUAUGUCAGAGGGGGGUAGAAUUCCGCGUGUAGCAGUGAAAUGCGUAGAGAUGCGGAGGAAUACCGAUGGCGAAGGCAGCCCCCUGGGAUAAUACUGACGCUCAUGCACGAAAGCGUGGGGAGCAAAC